Molecule: ribosomal RNA, 320 nt
Filed under: uncultured Planctomycetota bacterium
Lineage: Bacteria; Pseudomonadati; Planctomycetota
Description: bacterial SSU rRNA
Rfam family: Bacterial small subunit ribosomal RNA
Source: RNAcentral
AAUGAACGUUGGCGGCGUGGAUUAGGCAUGCGAGUCGUACGAGAACCCGCAAGGGGAAGGUAGGCGAACGGGUAGGUAAUGCGUAGGUGACGUGCCCUGCGGUCGGGGAGUAGCUUAGGGAAACUUAAGGUAAUACCCGAUGACACCAUGCGGUUUGAAUACCAUAUGGUCAAAGGUGUGAUUCCACCACAGGAGCGGCUUGCGUGGUAUUAGCUAGUUGGUGAGGUAACGGCUCACCAAGGCAACGAUGCCUAGGGGAUGUUAGCGCAUGAUCCCCACCACUGGGACUGAGAUACUGCCCAGACACCUACGGGAGGCUG